Molecule: ribosomal RNA, 484 nt
Filed under: uncultured bacterium
Lineage: Bacteria
Description: partial 16S ribosomal RNA
Rfam family: Bacterial small subunit ribosomal RNA
Source: RNAcentral
AUUGAACGCUGGCGGCAGGCCUAACACAUGCAAGUCGAGCGGAUGAAGGGAGCUUGCUCCUGGAUUCAGCGGCGGACGGGUGAGUAAUGCCUAGGAAUCUGCCUGGUAGUGGGGGAUAACGUCCGGAAACGGGCGCUAAUACCGCAUACGUCCUGAGGGAGAAAGUGGGGGAUCUUCGGACCUCACGCUAUCAGAUGAGCCUAGGUCGGAUUAGCUAGUUGGUGGGGUAAAGGCCUACCAAGGCGACGAUCCGUAACCGGUCUGAGAGGAUGAUCAGUCACACUGGAACUGAGACACGGUCCAGACUCCUACGGGAGGCAGCAGUGGGGAAUAUUGGACAAUGGGCGAAAGCCUGAUCCAGCCAUGCCGCGUGUGUGAAGAAGGUCUUCGGAUUGUAAAGCACUUUAAGUUGGGAGGAAGGGCAGUAAGUUAAUACCUCGCUGUUUUGACGUUACCAACAGAAUAAGCACCGGCUAACUUCGUG